Molecule: ribosomal RNA, 1446 nt
Filed under: uncultured bacterium
Lineage: Bacteria
Description: bacterial SSU rRNA
Rfam family: Bacterial small subunit ribosomal RNA
Source: RNAcentral
GAGUUUGAUCAUGGCUCAGAACGUACGCUGGCGGCACGCCUAACACAUGCAAGUCGAACGAGGUAGCAAUACUUAGUGGCGAACGGGUGAGUAUAAUGUGGGUAUCUACCCUUUGGUUUGGAAUAACACGAGGAAACUUGUGCUAAUACCGGAUAAGCCCUUACGGGGAAAGCUUUAUGCGCCAAUGGAUGAGCCCUCAUUUGAUUAGCUUGUUGGUAAGGUAAAAGCUUACCAAGGCAACGAUCAAUAGCUGAUCUGAGAGGAUGAUCAGCCACAUUGGGACUGAGACACGGCCCAAACUCCUACGGGAGGCAGCAGUGGGGAAUCUUGCACAAUGGGGGAAACCCUGAUGCAGCGAUGCCGCGUGAGUGAAGAAGGCCUUUGGGUUGUAAAGCUCUUUCGUCGGGGAAGAAAAUGACUGUACCCGAAUAAGAAGGUCCGGCUAACUUCGUGCCAGCAGCCGCGGUAAUACGAAGGGACCUAGCGUAGUUCGGAAUUACUGGGCUUAAAGAGCUCGUAGGUGGUUAGAAAAGUUGGUGGUGAAAUCCCAAGGCUUAACCUUGGAACUGCCAUCAAAACUUUUUGACUAGAGUAUGAUAGAGGAAAGUGGAAUUUCUAGUGUAGAGGUGAAAUUCGUAGAUAUUAGAAAGAACACCAAUUGCGAAGGCAGCUUUCUGGAUCAUUACUGACACUGAGGUGCGAAAGCAUGGGUAGCGAAGAGGAUUAGAUACCCUCGUAGUCCAUGCUGUAAACGAUGUGUGCUAGACGUUGGAAAUUUAAUUUUCAGUGUCGCAGCAAAAGCGAUAAGCACACCGCCUGGGGAGUACGACCGCAAGGUUAAAACUCAAAUGAAUUGACGGGGACCCGCACAAGUAGUGGAGCAUGUGGUUUAAUUCGAAGAUACGCGCAGAACCUUACCAACACUUGACAUGUUCGUCGCGACUCUAAGAGAUUAGAGUUUUCGGUUCGGCCGGACGAAACACAGGUGCUGCAUGGCUGUCGUCAGCUCGUGUCGUGAGAUGUUGGGUUAAGUCCCGCAACGAGCGCAACCCUCACUUUUAGUUGCUACCAUUUAGUUGGGCACUCUAAAAGAACUGCCAGUGAUAAGCUGGAGGAAGGUGGGGAUGACGUCAAGUCCUCAUGGCCCUUACGUGUUGGGCUACACACGUGCUACAAUGGUAUUUACAGUGGGAUGCUAAGAGGCAACUCCAAGCAAACCCCCAAAAGAUACCUCAGUUCGGAUUGCACUCUGCAACUCGAGUGCAUGAAGCUGGAAUUACUAGUAAUCGUGGAUCAGCGCGCCACGGUGAAUACGUUCCCGGGUCUUGUACACACCGCCCGUCACACCAUGGAAGUUGGUUACACCUUAAGGCAAAAUGUUAACCUUCGGGAAACAUUUGACUACGGUACGAUCAGCGACUGGGGUGAAGUCGUAACAAGGUAGCC